Molecule: long non-coding RNA, 1564 nt
Organism: Xyrauchen texanus (razorback sucker)
Lineage: Eukaryota; Metazoa; Chordata; Actinopteri; Cypriniformes; Catostomidae
Exons: 5
Source: RefSeq, a predicted model, not a curated record
GAUAAAUACAAAUGAAUGUGGUGUUUCCAGUGCUUCCACCUCCAUUACUCUCUGAAAAACAGAAGCCAAAUGCAACUGACACAUAGAGUGCAGCUGGAUUUCUGAAUCGAAUCUUAUAUUGCAAGCGCACUGAAAUGACAGCUGAUGUAGAAAUGACACUUAAGCUACCUGCAACUCCUCGACUGAUACUCCUUGGUGAAACACCGGGAAGAUGUAUUCACCACUGGAUGAUCAGCCUUGAGGGGCACAUUUGUGAAGGCAUCCAUCCAACUUUUCUGUCUGGGCUUGCUGCUGCAUUUUCUACUUACUACACCUUAAAUCUUCAGUACCAAGAUUAUGCUGCAUGCACACUGGAAUUCAUUCAAAGCAGAACACAAAUUAAGACUUUGAGAAGAAAAUCCAAGCUCGGAGGGGCCUACAGUGCAAGUGAAUGGGUGCCAAAACCAUUAAGUUAAAAAACACAGAAAAUAAAUUCAAAUGACUCCAAUGAUUUAUUAAAUGUCUUCUGAAGCGAUCUAAUCCGUUUUGGGUGAGGACAGACCAAAAUGUAACUCCUUUUUUACUAUAAAUCUUGACAUAAGCAGUCUCCUUGGCGAUCAUGAUUUCAAGCUUGAUUAAACUUCCUAGUGCUAGACACAUGGGUAGAACCACUAGAUGGCUCAAGGAAGUGUAAUCAAGCUUGAAAUCGAUCAUGCCUGUAAACUGCAAUGGCAAGAUGUACAGUGAAAAAGAAGUUACAUUUUGGUCUCUUCUCAACUAAAACCAAUGAUAUCAUGUGAUGAUGAUGUGUGUAAGCACAUCAGAACCCUUAUUUCCUUCUAAAAAAAAAUCUUCAUUUGUUUUCUGAUGAUGAUAGAAAAUCAUACACAUCUGGCAUGGAGUUAAGGUGAGUAAAUGAUGAUUGGAUUUUUAUUUUUGGGUGAACUAUUCCUUUAAGAAAACUCUCCUGACACUAAUCAGGUCAAAGCAAACUACCACUUUAUAUUUAUAUAUUGAUUUACCAGUGACAAUGCAUAACUCCUAAAAAGAUGCUAAAAUGUAACAUUACCUACACCUACUGUAGUAAAGGGCAGUUUUCCUGAUACAAAAAUAGACUUUGCUAUAUUUAGAUCAUAUAAUUAUCUAAUUAUCCAUACUACUUAUGAACACACACACACACACACACACACACACACACACACACACACACACACACACACACACACACACACACGCUGUUUUAGUCAUUCAUUCAGCUACAUUCUCAGUUAUUUACAUUAUUUGUUAUAAUAUGUAUUUAUUAUUUAUAUGGCUGAAAUGUAAGUUUAUUUACCAGAAUAAGCUUUGGGCUUUGUUUUACCAAUUGCCUUCUAAUUUUGUACUGAUGUUUUGAGAAGACACUUUGAAGCUGUAUUAUUUGUGUUAAAAGUUUAAGUCAUAAUUUCAAAGGCUACAUUUAUACACUGUAUUAAAACACUGUAUUUUUAUAGCAAGACUAAAGAAUAAUUUAUUAAAUCACAAGGUUUUGAAAAAAAAGUAAACACAUUGUAGUCCUUUUUGCUAGCAGUCCAUUACUCAAUAGCUC